Molecule: ribosomal RNA, 787 nt
Filed under: crenarchaeote enrichment clone F81
Lineage: Archaea; Thermoproteati; Thermoproteota
Description: bacterial SSU rRNA
Rfam family: Archaeal small subunit ribosomal RNA
Source: RNAcentral
UGCGAGUCAUUGUAGCAAUACAAGGCAGACGGCUCAGUAACGCGUAGUCAAUYUACCCUGUGGACGGGAAUAACCUCGGGAAACUGAGAAUAAUACCCGAUAGAACAUUAUGCCUGGAAUGGUUUAUGUUUCAAAUGAUUUAUCGCCAUAGGAUGGGACUGCGGCCUAUCAGUUUGUUGGUGAGGUAAUGGCCCACCAAGACUAUUACAGGUACGGGCUCUGAGAGGAGUAGCCCGGAGAUGGGUACUGAGACACGGACCCAGGCCCUAUGGGGCGCAGCAGGCGAGAAAACUUUGCAAUGUGCGAAAGCACGACAAGGUUAAUCCGAGUGGUUUCUGCUAAAGAAACCUUUUGCCAGUCCUAGAAACACUGGUGAAUAAGGGGUGGGCAAGUUCUGGUGUCAGCCGCCGCGGUAAAACCAGCACCUCAAGUGGUCAGGAUGAUUAUUGGGCCUAAAGCAUCCGUAGCUCGUUUUGUAAGUUUUCGGUUAAAUCCAUGCGCUCUACGUAUGGGCUGCCGGGAAUACUGCAUAACUAGGAAGUGGGAGAGGUAGACGGUACUCGGUAGGAAGGGGUAAAAUCCUUUGAUCUAUUGAUGACCACCUGUGGCGAAGGCGGUCUACCAGAACACGUUCGACGGUGAGGGAUGAAAGCUGGGGGAGCAAACCGGAUUAGAUACCCGGGUAGUCCCAGCUGUAAACUAUGCAAACUCAGUGAUGCAUUGGCUUGUGGCCAAUGCAGUGCUGCAGGGAAGCCGUUAAGUUUGCCGCCUGGGAAGUACGUACGCA